GAUGAACGCUAGCGGGAGGCUUAACACAUGCAAGUCGAGGGGCAGCACUGAUAGCAAUAUUAGGUGGCGACCGGCGGACGGGUGAGUAACGCGUAUGCAACCUACCCUUUACAGGGGGAUAGCCCGGAGAAAUUCGGAUUAAUACCCCAUAGAUCAGUGAUUCUGCAUGGGAUUACUGGUAAAGCUUCGGCGGUAAAGGAUGGGCAUGCGUCCCAUUAGCUAGUUGGUAGGGUAACGGCCUACCAAGGCAACGAUGGGUACGGGGUCUUAAAGGAUGGACCCGCACACUGGCACUGAGACACGGGCCAGACUCCUACGGGAGGCAGCAGUGAGGAAUAUUGGUCAAUGGGGGGAACCCUGAACCAGCCAUCCCGCGUGCAGGAAGACAGUUCUAUGGAUUGUAAACUGCUUUUCUUGGGGAAGAAUAAUGACGACGUGUCGUCAGAUGACGGUACCCGAGGAAUAAGCAUCGGCUAACUCCGUG
RNAcentral lists this ribosomal RNA (484 nucleotides) under uncultured bacterium. RNAcentral describes it as "bacterial SSU rRNA". It matches the Rfam family "Bacterial small subunit ribosomal RNA", at positions 28 to 507 of the family's 1533-position model. The record is from RNAcentral.